Spinacia oleracea (spinach) is the source of this 767-nucleotide long non-coding RNA. RefSeq lists it as uncharacterized. The transcript is spliced from 4 exons. Lineage: Eukaryota; Viridiplantae; Streptophyta; Magnoliopsida; Caryophyllales; Amaranthaceae. The record is from RefSeq and is a predicted model, not a curated record.
UUGUCAAAGCCCAAAUAAUAAGACCCAAAAUACUUUACUCCUUUCCUACUCUUUCAAUUCACGUAAAAGGGAAAAAAAAAAAAAAAACUCUCAUCAUUCACGUGAACCAGAAAACCCUCAUACCCUCCUCCCUCACGCUUCUUCCCCUUGCUGCAACCACCGUACCUCUCAGCCGCCACCACCGCCGGCAGCUUUCUCCCUCCGUCGUCCGCAGCCUUACCGCCGCCGCCGCACCACCGCAGCGUCGCCGCCCAGCCUCCAUCGCUGCGCCGCCGCGUUCUUCGCCACACCAACACCCUCCUUGUUCUCCUUCCUGCUCGCCGGAACUCCCCUUCGUUCUUCCUAUUCCGCAAGCAGAAUUCAGUCGCAGCUACCACCGCUGACCCACCAGCCAGCGCGCCCCGCCACCGUCGACUGUGCCCUUCUGCCGCCGUCUCUGACCGCCGGCCAGCCACUCUUCAUUCUCUCUUUUGGCGGAGAAUUCUUUGUGGGCGACUUUUGAAUUCGUUAAAGUGGCCUAUCAGUUUGUUUAAACAAGUCUCUAAGGAUCAAUAAGCAUUGUCCAUCUGCAGGUUUGAAGAUGUUGCAUCAUUGGGAUCGGGAAUAGAGAGCUUGUAUUUAGUUUUGAUUUGCUAAGUUAACUUGGGUUUGUUAAUUGGGACUUUAAACUUGUCGUACUAUUUAUAUUUCCUUAUUUUCGUUGGAUGAUUUUUGGGAUUAAACCUGUAAUCGAUUAUUUAUAAACCUAAAGUUAGUUUUAUGUUUUC